CUAACUUUGCUUCUCAGCCCCCAGGAGGGGGGCAGGGCUGCUGAGGGCUUGGCUAGUCCAGGCCCAAGCCCAGGGCUCCAAGGGCCUGAGUCAUACUGACAGUAAGAGGUGUGGGGAGCACACACAGGCUCCAUCUCCUUUUAUGUCCCUGGCUGGACAUUCCCAAGCCAGAGUCAGGAGCCGUGAGUGGGGCCAGCCAGGCUGUCUCUUAUUCUAACUUUCAGUGGCUUGAGGGAUCUGGUGGGGGUUCUGGAGGAAGGAGGCUGGGCUGAGGGGCAAGGGUGGAGCGCGAGUUCAGGGCCACUUUUUCAGCCAAUCUGCCAGAGGAGUGGACCAGCCACAGUCUGCUUCGUCCCUGAAGGGUUUUCCAUUCACUUUGAUGUGUGGCAGGCUCAGAAGAGGAAUUUGGUAAGAGGCUCAGGAUAACUCCUCAGAUGUGGCAGCAGGCUAUGGCUGUGGUUGCCCCAUGAUGCUGUGGGCAGCAAGGCAUCUGACUUCUCAGUGACUGACCUGGGUUUCAGGGAGACGAUAAACCUGUGCCUGUUUCCCGAACUCCUCUGCAGUCCCCUAACUUACUGUGCAUCUUGGGCCAUCCAGAUGGCCCUUCUCGUCUCUCCAGAUGCUGGAAGAUACUUCAGGUGCCCAGGGCCCACUUGUCCCAGUCACUGACCUUUGAUGGUCAGCUGGGUUUGCCCUAAAUGAAUAAAUACCUGCUGACUAUAAGUUCUAAUGUUAUCUUAGAAGGUUCAGAGAGUAACUGCCUCUAGGAGAAAAGAUGAUCUUCAAACAGAUAAAGUCAGACUAAGCCCCCUAGAAUUGAGAGGGCAGUGCCUAGCCUGUGACCCCUUGAUUUUAAAGAGGAGCUGGCAGGAGUUCCACCGGUGUGUGAGGGGGACAUUUCCAGAUAAGGCAACCCAAACUUCAUUUCAGCGUGCAACUUGCUUAUAUUUCUUCACGUGGGAUCACAGUCCCCACCCAUGGGUAGCCUACCCAAGGCAGUGUUGUUUUCCAGUCUUCUCAACAAAACAACCACUGAUGGUUCUGACAAGAGUAGACUUGUGUCUGCCUUAGGCAAGAUGGUGGCUUAAUACCAGCUCAGGCAGAUUUUUCUCAGUGAUUUUUGCUUCACAGUUCAUGGAUUAAUUGCUUCUCUUUAUUUCCGAUAUUAGACUCUAUCACUUGUCUUGGAGUUCAUUUCCUAUAUUCCACAGAAAAGUUAAGUUGUGCAGCAGAGUGUCUGGGGGGCAAGGAAUGGGUUGGGGUUUUCCCCUAUUCUUUCACUAUCCUGGGAUGCUGCCUCUCUCUGACCUGGACUGAGAUCUUGCUCUCUUCUCUCUCUGGGUCUCCCCCAGCAGUUCAGAACAAAGCUCCACGGGUCCCCACCUAGCAAAUCAGCCCAAGGAAGUGUUGGGUAUCUGUCUAGGAUAGGACAGUAACUUUCAUACAGUAUUUACCAAUCUACAAAGUCGCACAAUUUUAUAUUUUGCUUUCCUUAAUCUUUAUCAUUACCUUCACAUUUAACUCUAUUUAAUCCUCAAAACUCCUUGUGCAGGUAAUGCAUCACCCGUGGCCAUACUUUAUGGUAAGGGAGGUAUGAGGAAACAGAGCCUCAGUUCCUCCCUUGUGAGUACAGGGAGAGUAAUGGGCAAAGAGACAGGGCCUGAAACCAAACCCGGGAGUGUCUCCACCAGACCACACAACCCUCUCUCAGAGAUUCAGUUUUGCAAAGGACAGGCACGUACCUGGCCAUCUGAGGGGAAAAUUCCGCCUAAAUUUAUGGGCUGAUUAUCAGGUACUUACUGUGUACCAUGAACUGCUAAGCUCUUCGCACACAUCAUUUCCUAUGGUCCUCUGAACAGUCUUUAUGUGUUAGGUAUUUUUAUCACAUUAUCACACAUGUGGAAACUGAGCUUCAGGCAGUAGUGGGAAGUAGUUGUGAGUGUUAACAGCUCACUCAGUCACCAGUGACCCAAAAGCACAAUAAAAAUCAACACAGGAAGUGGGGUGGUGAAGGUUCUCAGUGCUGGAGCCAGCACCCACGCAUAGCUCCUCUCUCAUUAGGUAACAGGUAGGAGUCCUGCGGGGAGGAAAUGAGCUGCAGGUGCUGGGGAGGUACAUCAAGGUUGCCUCAAGGUUAUAGGGGCCUUGAGCGUGUCUGGGAAACUUCUGUCUGGGGCGGGCUCUGUGGCCAGGGUUAGAGAGGGAGUCAGGUGCCUGGAUCAGGUGUUUGCAUGCUGAGCACGGCUGAGCCCCAUCCAGAGGGGUGAUGUGAAGAUGGAGGGAGGUGGGAUUCAGGCUCUGCACUGGGAGCACCUUGUCCAGCAUGCACCCGUCCGCACAUUCAUCUACACGUGUAACUUGAGAACGUCUUCAAAGCAACAUACAUGCAUGCAUUUGAACCCAGUGCAGGCCAAGUCCAGCAGUCUCGAAGGUACACAGUGUAGGAAGUAUAUACCCAGUAUUCCUUUACAUGUCCUGUGUGUGAAUAUGCUGUGUAAACUGUGGAAAGAAAGCCAAGUUUUGUAGCAAAAGGCCUGGACUGGAGGCCCAGCAUUUCCAUUUUCCAACAAGUCUGCUUUUAGACCAGAUCUGCCUAGAUAUUCCAAGACACAUAAAAUACAGAAUGCCAAACAGGGCAUCCUUAGGAAAGUGGUUCUCAAACAUCCUGCCUCAGAGUCACCAGGAAGGCUUGUUAAAAAGAUGGCUGGGCCCUCCCUCAGGUUUUCUGAUUCCCGAGGUCUGGGAUGGGACCUGGGAAUUCGAAUUCCUAACAAGUGACCAGGUGAUGUUGAUGUUGCUGGCCUGGGACCCACACUUUGAGAACUGCUGCCCUAGGCUACAUGGCAUAGGCACCUGGAGAUGGCUGGCCUUGACACAGCCCAACCCACCCAGCACGGCUCUCAGCCUCUCCACACAAACACUGCCAUGGCUAAGGCUUCUCUAGAACAACUCACCUCACACAGUAGGAACCACAACCCACAGUUGGUUUCCCCCAGAGCACUGGCUUCCCUGGGCCCCAAGCUGGCACUGCUGAAAUUUAGGUCAUGGCUCCCAUCUCUGGCCCCUUUCUUGUCCAUCUCGGCCUCCACAAGAACUUGUGAAGCUUAAGUCCUGCUGGUUAACCCUUCAGCACACUGUGUAACCCAGUCACUUUGACCAUGGCCCAUAGUAUGAAAUAUGUCUUAUAUCACAGACUUGUUGGCAUGUGUACACACACACAUGUUUCCCAAAUGAUACUUAUUCUUUACUUAUUCUUAGUAUGUGUGACACACUCAUAUUUUCUACCCUUCCUUUCUUCCUCCCCACCUCCCUCUGGGUCUCUUGCCUCUGUCUCUGCUUCUCUCUCAGUCUGUUAGUCUAUCUCUCCUUGUUCCUUUUUUUCUUCAGUGGAACUCAAUCUACCAAAUUGCUUUAAUGCAUCCACAAGUUAAGUACACUCCCUGGGUAUAGAAAUUACAAAUAAAACUUCUCUGAGCCUAACUUCCUAAUCUGUAUGCUUAUGAAGUGCCUGUACUGCCAAUCUUGCUACUAUUUAUCUUGAAUGAUAUCAUGAUUCAU
This is a long non-coding RNA of Cervus elaphus (red deer), 3558 nucleotides long. RefSeq lists it as uncharacterized. NCBI's taxonomy places the organism in Eukaryota, Metazoa, Chordata, Mammalia, Artiodactyla, Cervidae. The transcript is spliced from 3 exons. The record is from RefSeq and is a predicted model, not a curated record.